This 1043-nucleotide long non-coding RNA is filed under the name Homo sapiens (human). RNAcentral describes it as "epigenetically induced MYC interacting lncRNA 1". Lineage: Eukaryota; Metazoa; Chordata; Mammalia; Primates; Hominidae. The record is from RNAcentral.
UCUUCCAGAAACGCCCUCACAGACACCCCGGAAGUCACGUACCCACUCUGUAGGUGCCCCGGGGCACAGGCAAGCGGACGAGCCAGUUAUCCCUCAGAGCUCCUGCUGCCUCGCCCGCUUUCUCUCGGAAACGUGAAGUGUGGCCUCAGCUGAAAGUGAGGUGGGCCUCAUUCAAUCAGUUGAAUUCUUCAAGAGAGAAAAACUGAAGUCCCUUAGAAGGAAAGAGUUCUGCCUUCAGACUGUCUUUGAACUUAAGACUGUAGCGUCGACUCCUGCCGGAAUUUCCAGCCUGCUGGCCAGCUCUGCAGAUUCACACUUGCCAGCCUCCACAAUCGCAGCUGAGGCGGAGGAACCCUAAGGGCUCAUUGAGAUCAUGGAUUUGCCCUUCUAUGCAUUGAUGGAGCACCUGCUGCCCACAGCGUCUGUAUUUGGUGCUGGGAUGCUGAGGACACUGAGAUCUUCAAACAGAGGCUGCCACUCUAAGCAAACAGAUCCCGAGCCCUGGACUCUGAAGCUUGGGCCCAGUUCUCCUUUUCUCCGGGUUUCAGAUCCCACUGUGAAGUGAGGGGGCCCUUCUGAUUCAGGACCCGGGGAAGCCAGGGGCAUGAGCAUCGGUGCCUCUUCUCUAUUUCAAGGACCCUUCUGGGUGUAAAGUUCUCUGAGAUGCCUUACAUGGAUUCCCACCACUGCAAGAUAACCAUCGUAUGUAAAGUGUUAUGACCAGCAGAGCGUAAUUGAAGUGCAUUCCAGAGGGAAAGACAGCGGCUCAGAUAAUCAUAGAGCACCAACUCUAUCUGCACCAUGGAUUUUGCAAGCUCCUGGGAAUGCAGAAGAGAACAUUACAGAUGGCUUUGCUGGCUUUGUGGGAUUCAAAAAUAGCCAUCAAAACAAGUCUGAAGCAACUCACACAACUAAUUUUAAUGGUGGCCACUGCCAGGGUAACCAGUUCAUUGAAGAAAUGACUCUCGGCAGGGAUCAGAACACAACUUACAUUCUGUAUCGCUGUGCCUUCAAUUAUUAUUAUUAUUAUUAUUUAUUAUUAG